This 496-nucleotide ribosomal RNA is filed under the name Halomonas sp. M9-C8. Its description in RNAcentral is "bacterial SSU rRNA". It matches the Rfam family "Bacterial small subunit ribosomal RNA", at positions 1 to 493 of the family's 1533-position model. Lineage: Bacteria; Pseudomonadati; Pseudomonadota; Gammaproteobacteria; Oceanospirillales; Halomonadaceae. The record is from RNAcentral.
UAGAGUUUGGAUCAUGGCUCAGAUUGAACGCUGGCGGCAGGCCUAACACAUGCAAGUCGAGCGGAAACGAUGGAAGCUUGCUUCCAGGCGUCGAGCGGCGGACGGGUGAGUAAUGCAUGGGAAUCUGCCCGAUAGUGGGGGAUAACCUGGGGAAACCCAGGCUAAUACCGCAUACGUCCUACGGGAGAAAGCAGGGGAUCUUCGGACCUUGCGCUAUCGGAUGAGCCCAUGUCGGAUUAGCUUGUUGGUGAGGUAAUGGCUCACCAAGGCGACGAUCCGUAGCUGGUCUGAGAGGAUGAUCAGCCACAUCGGGACUGAGACACGGCCCGAACUCCUACGGGAGGCAGCAGUGGGGAAUAUUGGACAAUGGGCGAAAGCCUGAUCCAGCCAUGCCGCGUGUGUGAAGAAGGCCCUCGGGUUGUAAAGCACUUUCAGUGGGGAAGAAAGCCUUGGGAUUAAUACUCCCGAGGAAGGACAUCACCCACCAGAGAGACCG